UACGUAGGGUGCGAGCGUUGUCCGGAAUUAUUGGGCGUAAAGAGCUUGUAGGCGGUCUGUCGCGUCUGCUGUGAAAAUCCGGGGCUCAACCCCGGACUUGCAGUGGGUACGGGCAGACUAGAGUGUGGUAGGGGAGACUGGAAUUCCUGGUGUAGCGGUGAAAUGCGCAGAUAUCAGGAGGAACACCGGUGGCGAAGGCGGUUCUCUGGGCCGGAACUGACGCUGAGGAGCGAAAGCGUGGGGAGCAAACAGG
This 253-nucleotide ribosomal RNA is filed under the name uncultured bacterium. RNAcentral describes it as "partial 16S ribosomal RNA". It matches the Rfam family "Bacterial small subunit ribosomal RNA", at positions 524 to 776 of the family's 1533-position model. The record is from RNAcentral.